GACAGACUUUACCGUGGGGGUUGAGGCACUCACUGAAAACCUACGACCGAUGGUUCGCACCUGGUGCCUCUCCAACCACCAAAUAGUAUUAGAAAUCUUGGUUUUACUGCAUUGCUAUUAGUUUGGUCUGGUGAGUUAUGCAUACGACAUGGCCUAUAAAUAGAGCCAUAGAAGGAUGUUACAUUUAAUCAGAAUUAGCAUUAUUUCAAACAAUCAAGUCUAGCUCAGUAGCGUUAGAUAAUAAUGCAUGAUCUUCACGACCUGGAAGUUGCAGAAGAAAAGGAAGUAUGCCGUCUCAAACUCAGCAAAGAACUCGACAGUAAAUUCACCUGGAGCACUCAUUUGAGCAAGAAUACACAACUAAGUUUAAUAGGCGAAGGUCGCCAUCUGCUGCCCCGUGAAGAAACCUCAACCACGAACCUUCACGAGGGGCCAGGAGAUGUAUAUGUUUGGCCUUCUCCAAUUAAUAUACUAAGUGUGAGUCUGUGACUAAGAGGAGGAUAUAUAUGUAAUGAAUUUGUUUUGAUGGCCAUCAUAAACUCACGUUAUUAAGAAUGUAUACCAAUUGAAUAGACAUAUUUUCUAUGAUCUAGAAUAAUUAUAAUAGACAGUUCAUACUCAAAUAGUAUGAGAAUCAUACUGUACGUGUUUUUCAACAAUUAAUAUUAUAAUCCCAGAGUUCGAAUUGCCUUU
Long non-coding RNA from Malus domestica (apple), 693 nucleotides. RefSeq lists it as uncharacterized. The record is from RefSeq and is a predicted model, not a curated record. NCBI's taxonomy places the organism in Eukaryota, Viridiplantae, Streptophyta, Magnoliopsida, Rosales, Rosaceae.